This 429-nucleotide ribosomal RNA is filed under the name Chloroflexota bacterium. RNAcentral describes it as "Chloroflexi bacterium partial 16S ribosomal RNA". It matches the Rfam family "Bacterial small subunit ribosomal RNA", at positions 355 to 776 of the family's 1533-position model. The record is from RNAcentral. Lineage: Bacteria; Bacillati; Chloroflexota.
UGGGGAAUAUUGCACAAUGGGCGCAAGCCUGAUGCAGCCAUGCCGCGUGUAUGAAGAAGGCCUUCGGGUUGUAAAGUACUUUCAGUCGGGAGGAAGGUGGUAAGGUUAAUAACCUUAUCAAUUGACGUUACCGACAGAAGAAGCACCGGCUAACUCCGUGCCAGCAGCCGCGGUAAUACGGAGGGUGCAAGCGUUAAUCGGAAUUACUGGGCGUAAAGCGCACGCAGGCGGUCUGUCAAGUCGGAUGUGAAAUCCCCGGGCUUAACCUGGGAACUGCAUUAGAAACUGGCAGGCUAGAGUCUUGUAGAGGGGGGUAGAAUUCCAGGUGUAGCGGUGAAAUGCGUAGAGAUCUGGAGGAAUACCGGUGGCGGAGGCGGCCCCCUGGACAAAGACUGACGCUCAGGUGCGAAAGCGUGGGGAGCAAACAGG